Molecule: ribosomal RNA, 460 nt
Filed under: uncultured Treponema sp.
Lineage: Bacteria; Pseudomonadati; Spirochaetota; Spirochaetia; Treponematales; Treponemataceae
Description: partial 16S ribosomal RNA
Rfam family: Bacterial small subunit ribosomal RNA
Source: RNAcentral
ACGGGAGGCAGCAGCUAAGAAUAUUCCGCAAUGGACGAAAGUCUGACGGAGCGACGCCGCGUGGAUGAUGAAGGUCGGAAGGUUGUAAAGUCCUUUUAUAACUGAGGAAUAAGUAAGGUGAGAGAAACGCCUUAUGGUGACUGUAGGUUAUGAAUAAGCAACGGCUAAUUACGUGCCAGCAGCCGCGGUAACACGUAAGUUGCGAGCGUUGUUCGGAAUUAUUGGGCGUAAAGGGCAUGUAGGCGGUUUUGCAAGCUUGGUGUGAAAUCCCGGAGCUUAACUCCGGAAUUGCGUUGAGAACUGCAUAACUAGAGUCACUGAGGGGCAAUCAGAAUUCCUGGUGUAGGGGUGAAAUCUGUAGAUACCAGGAAGAAUACCAAUGGCGAAGGCAGGUUACCAGCAGAUGACUGACGCUGAGGUGCGAAGGUGCGGGGAGCAAACAGGAUUAGAUACCCUGGUA